Molecule: ribosomal RNA, 208 nt
Filed under: Clostridioides difficile
Lineage: Bacteria; Bacillati; Bacillota; Clostridia; Peptostreptococcales; Peptostreptococcaceae
Description: partial 16S ribosomal RNA
Rfam family: Bacterial small subunit ribosomal RNA
Source: RNAcentral
UUGAGCGAUUUACUUCGGUAAAGAGCGGCGGACGGGUGAGUAACGCGUGGGUAACCUACCCUGUACACACGGAUAACAUACCGAAAGGUAUGCUAAUACGGGAUAAUAUAUUUGAGAGGCAUCUCUUAAAUAUCAAAGGUGAGCCAGUACAGGAUGGACCCGCGUCUGAUUAGCUAGUUGGUAAGGUAACGGCUUACCAAGGCGACGA